CUAAGAAUAUUCCGCAAUGGACGAAAGUCUGACGGAGCGACGCCGCGUGAACGAAGAAGGCCGGAAGGUUGUAAAGUUCUUUUGAAACUGAAGAAUAAGUAUUGCAGGGAAUGGCGAUAUGGUGACGGUAGGUUUUGAAUAAGCAACGGCUAAUUACGUGCCAGCAGCCGCGGUAACACGUAAGUUGCGAGCGUUGUUCGGAAUUAUUGGGCGUAAAGGGCAUGUAGGCGGUUUUGCAAGCUUGGUGUGAAAUGCAUAGGCUCAACCUAUGAACUGCAUUGAGAACUACAAGACUUGAGUUACUGAGGUGGAACUGGAAUUCCAGGUGUAGGGGUGAAAUCUGCAGAUAUCUGGAAGAACACCAAUGGCGAAGGCAAGUUUCAAGCAGAUAACUGACGCUGAGGUGCGAAGGUGCGGGGAGCAAACAGGAUUAGAUACCCUGGUUAGU
Molecule: ribosomal RNA, 448 nt
Filed under: uncultured Treponema sp.
Lineage: Bacteria; Pseudomonadati; Spirochaetota; Spirochaetia; Treponematales; Treponemataceae
Description: bacterial SSU rRNA
Rfam family: Bacterial small subunit ribosomal RNA
Source: RNAcentral